GACGAACGCUGGCGGCGUGCUUAACACAUGCAAGUCGAACGGAAAGGCCCUGCUUUUGUGGGGUGCUCGAGUGGCGAACGGGUGAGUAACACGUGAGUAACCUGCCCUUGACUUUGGGAUAACUUCAGGAAACUGGGGCUAAUACCGGAUAGGAGCUCCUGCUGCAUGGUGGGGGUUGGAAAGUUUCGGCGGUUGGGGAUGGACUCGCGGCUUAUCAGCUUGUUGGUGGGGUAGUGGCUUACCAAGGCUUUGACGGGUAGCCGGCCUGAGAGGGUGACCGGCCACAUUGGGACUGAGAUACGGCCCAGACUCCUACGGGAGGCAGCAGUGGGGAAUAUUGCACAAUGGGCGGAAGCCUGAUGCAGCAACGCCGCGUGCGGGAUGACGGCCUUCGGGUUGUAAACCGCCUUCGCCUGUGACGAAGCGUGAGUGACGGUAAUGGGUAAAGAAGCACCCGCUAACUACGUG
Molecule: ribosomal RNA, 468 nt
Filed under: uncultured bacterium
Lineage: Bacteria
Description: partial 16S ribosomal RNA
Rfam family: Bacterial small subunit ribosomal RNA
Source: RNAcentral